AUUGUGUAGUUCCAUCCGAUUCUGCUCUAUCAAUGUUGAGAAAGUUAUAUUUAACCCCAUGUUCAUUUAUGUAGACCAACAAGAACCCCAUUUGCCAUGUUUUCAUAUGAUAUAUCACCAACCUGUGAAAUACCGAAAAAGCAACAUCACCACUAGAACCGCCGGAUAUCUUUAGGUGGCUUGAAGUUGAGGGGAUGAGUUUCUGGGGUUGCAGUUUCAUCCUCUUUCCACAUUUUAAUAGUCUUGUCUGCCUCACAUGAAACAAGCCUUGAACCAGUUAUAUCAUAUGAGAGUGCAUAAAUACCAGCUUCACUAUCCAAUGAGCCAGGCUGUACAAUUGUUUGGGCUUGCUGGAAAUUAUGACCACUCCUCCAAUCCCAGAACCACAGACUCCCAUUAUCACCUCCUGUAACCAUUACACCAUCCUCAUUGAUAGCCAUUGCAUUGAUGAUUGUUUUCUGCUGAGAGAGCAUGUUGUGCAAGAAUUCUCCCUUUGGAAGGCUGAAUUUCUUUAUGUUGUCAGCUGAUGCAGAGGCAAAGCAAUUCUCAGUAGGAUGCAGUGCCAUGGCUCGAACAGAUUUCUUGUGGUGUGUGAGUGUUAACAUAGUCUUACCAUAUCUUAGAUCCCAGAAUUUAAUGGUUGUGUCAUGGGAACCAGUGACGACUUGUGGAUCCGUUGGUCGAGUAAAAACUGAGCAUACUGUAUUAUCAUGCCCAGACAGUGCAAAAACUUGAACUUUUGUUCGAACAUCCCAGACCCGGCAAACAGAGUCACGCCCCCCAGUUAGCAAAAGGUCAAUAGUGGGAUGAAGAGCCAAGCAAUAGACACCACUUAAAUGGCCAUGAUAAGACCGGACAGCCUUGUUCUGUUCAAGGUCCCAGCAUUUCACCUGUUUGUCAUCACCAGCAGAAAACAUAUAGGUAUGUCUUUGGCUGACAGCAAGACCUCGGAUUUGUUCAAUGUGUCCAGUCAAUGUGAGCUUCAACCUUCCACUUCCUACAUCCCAUAUCUUAAUUGUGCGAUCUGCAGAACCAGUACAAAACCAUGAAUUACUUGGAUCAAAUGCGAUAGAUCUCACCCAUCCCAAAUGGCCACUUAUGACCCUGUAGUUCUUCCAUGGAGGAUGCCACACAGGACGUGGCCAUUUGCUUGGGAUCCUUUCCAUUAUAGCAGAUGUAGAGAACCUUUCAGAUGAUCCAAGACCAGAAAUCACUGCAGUGCUUUUGCCCUGUGGCCCAAGGUCAUUUGGUCCCUUCGGUUGCACAGAUGGACCAACAACCAAUGCAUUUUGAGCCGCACCCUUCUGCGAGUCCCUAGAAUCAUCAGGCCCUGGAAGAGCGAGAACAUUCGAAGGCACUGAAGAUUGAUUGCCACGAUCGGUUGUAGUAGAAAUAACUGGUCUUGGAAGUUCAUUUGAGCUUUUAAUUCCUUUGUACUCAGCAUUUAUCUUGUGGCUCAAGCGAAUAUUUUUACUUUCGGGAUCGGAAGGAGCUAGCUGGUCGUGAAUUGGAGAGAAGAGAUCGAGCGCGCGCUUUAGGGAUUUAAAACUAAGCUUCUUCACGGACUGUGGCUCCACUGGCUCCAUCUCCUGGGUAGGCCCUGGCAUUUCGUCCUUCAAUGGCCUCUGCAAGUAGCUACCAG
RNAcentral lists this unclassified non-coding RNA (1642 nucleotides) under Hevea brasiliensis (rubber tree). Lineage: Eukaryota; Viridiplantae; Streptophyta; Magnoliopsida; Malpighiales; Euphorbiaceae. The record is from RNAcentral.